UCACACAAAAAUUGGCAAAGCAAGGUUCCAGCUACAAUAAGCAUGGGAUAAGGAAGACUGCAAAUUUUAAAAAGGAGCAAAACUUUAUCAAAGUACAAAACCAAGUAAAUAUAUUUACCAUUGGUGGCUGAACAUUUGGAACGACUUUGGAAGAAAUAACUUUGCCUCUAUGGUGACCACCUCAUAUACUGAUGCAUGCACUUUCCUGAGUUCAACAAUCCAU
RNAcentral lists this long non-coding RNA (223 nucleotides) under Phaseolus vulgaris (common bean). RNAcentral describes it as "long non-coding RNA (PVUL_LNC005136)". Lineage: Eukaryota; Viridiplantae; Streptophyta; Magnoliopsida; Fabales; Fabaceae. The record is from RNAcentral.